GGAAUAUUGGUCAAUGGGCGAGAGCCUGAACCAGCCAAGUAGCUUGCAGGACGACGGCCCUAUGGGUUGUAAACUGCUUUUAUGCGUGGAUAAAGUGAGGGACGUGUCCUUCAUUGCAGGUACAGCAUGAAUAAGGACCGGCUAAUUCCGUGCCAGCAGCCGCGGUAAUACGGAAGGUCCGGGCGUUAUCCGGAUUUAUUGGGUUUAAAGGGAGCGUAGGCGGAAGGUUAAGCGUGACGUGAAAUGUACCGGCUCAACCGGUGAAUUGCGUCGCGAACUGGCUUUCUUGAGUGUGCGGAAGGAAGGCGGAAUUCGUGGUGUAGCGGUGAAAUGCUUAGAUAUCACGAAGAACUCCGAUUGCGAAGGCAGCUUUCCGUAGCAUUACUGACGCUGAAGCUCGAAAGUGCGGGUAUCGAACA
This 419-nucleotide ribosomal RNA is filed under the name uncultured Prevotella sp. RNAcentral's name for it is "bacterial SSU rRNA". It matches the Rfam family "Bacterial small subunit ribosomal RNA", at positions 358 to 774 of the family's 1533-position model. Lineage: Bacteria; Pseudomonadati; Bacteroidota; Bacteroidia; Bacteroidales; Prevotellaceae. The record is from RNAcentral.